GUGGCUUCAUCAGAAUGUUAUGCAAUUAUUUUGUUUUAUUAUUUUUAAUUUAAAUCAUUCUUUAAAGAUUUUUUUAUUUAAUACUAGUUUGUGUGUUAUCUUUGUAAGUAUGUCGAAACAAUGAGCCGUUUACAUGAAGGGACCCCAUUGUAAACAAGCUUUAGAGCUUUCCUGAUAAAAUAUAAGCAAGUUUUUUCAUUGCACUUGAGACUAUACUCAUAAAUUGCCAAUUUAUUUAAACAUGUGUGUGUGUGAUGGUACUGCAUAAGUAUCGUAUGUACAGUGUAAUGCAAU
RNAcentral lists this long non-coding RNA (294 nucleotides) under Mytilus galloprovincialis (Mediterranean mussel). Lineage: Eukaryota; Metazoa; Mollusca; Bivalvia; Mytilida; Mytilidae. The record is from RNAcentral.